CGCGCCCGGGAGCGGCCGUUAGCGGCGGUAACGGCCGAGCAGGGGCGGCGCGCGGCGAUGGCGCGGCGCGCCGCGGCGGCGCUGCUGCUGCUGGAGGCGGCGGGGCUGGUGGGCGCCAUGCUGCUCUACCGCCGCAUGGACCGCAGUCAAGACUUCAGAUACACAAUGCAGAAGAGAUUUCCCUCAAUUCUGGAAGUUUAUUACAAAAGCAAUGAGUGGUCUGGAAUUCAUGGCAUAAGGGAGAAUGACCAAAUGACAUGGCUAAGCAGCAAGAAUUAAACCCUUUGUGCCUAAACUGUUUCUUCUUUUUUAUAAUACUUUUCACAUCCCUAUUGUGAAGCCACUUGUCACGCUCUACUUCCCACUGGAGCUGUUUGGCACCUGUAAGAGGAAAGAGGGAAGAUGAGAAAUAAGAAGCUGAUGGAUACUUCUGAUUGCUCUGAAGUGUCUAUCCUCCAACAAUUAUAAUAGAAUGUGGAUAAAUCAUGUAAAAGUUAAAACUACUGUAUUUAUAAAUGCCAAUAAAGUGAAAACUGCUUUGUUUUGACACUA
This is a long non-coding RNA of Rhea pennata, 552 nucleotides long. RefSeq lists it as uncharacterized. Lineage: Eukaryota; Metazoa; Chordata; Aves; Rheiformes; Rheidae. The record is from RefSeq and is a predicted model, not a curated record. The transcript is spliced from 4 exons.